This 486-nucleotide ribosomal RNA is filed under the name uncultured Acholeplasma sp. Its description in RNAcentral is "bacterial SSU rRNA". It matches the Rfam family "Bacterial small subunit ribosomal RNA", at positions 903 to 1382 of the family's 1533-position model. The record is from RNAcentral. Lineage: Bacteria; Bacillati; Mycoplasmatota; Mollicutes; Acholeplasmatales; Acholeplasmataceae.
UACAGAAACUACAAAGGAAUUCGACGGGACCCCGCACAAGCGGUGGAUCAUGUUGUUUAAUUCGAUGAUACGCGAAGAACCUUACCAGGUCUUGACAUCCCCCGCGAUGCUUUAGAGAUAAAGCGGAGGUAUUCGGGGAGACAGGUGGUGCAUGGUUGUCGUCAGCUCGUGUCGUGAGAUGUUGGGUUAAGUCCCGCAACGAGCGCAACCCUAUUGCUAGUUACCAUCAUUAAGUUGGGGACUCUAGCGAGACUGCCAGUGAUAAACUGGAGGAAGGUGGGGAUGACGUCAAAUCAUCAUGCCCCUUAUGACCUGGGCUACAAACGUGAUACAAUGGCUGGAACAAAGGGAUGCGAAGCAGUGAUGUGGAGCGAAACCCAUAAAAACAGUCUCAGUUCGGAUUGAAGUCUGCAACUCGACUUCAUGAAGUCGGAAUCGCUAGUAAUCGCGGAUCAGAACGCCGCGGUGAAUACGUUCUCGGGGUUU